This 22883-nucleotide long non-coding RNA is filed under the name Triticum aestivum (bread wheat). RNAcentral's name for it is "long non-coding RNA (TAES_LNC004997)". Lineage: Eukaryota; Viridiplantae; Streptophyta; Magnoliopsida; Poales; Poaceae. The record is from RNAcentral.
UCACGUGCAGCUCCGGCGACGCGCUCCGGUGCCGGGAGGACGGGUGCCACGACGCGUUCCCGUACGUGAAGUACAACGACCACUCAUGCACCGCCGCCGGCAGCCGGCUCUAGAUCGUCUUCUGCCCAUGAUGAGCUAGCUAGCGGCAGAACGUAAACAUAUAACCUACACAUAUACUACGUGUAGUAGUACAUACUCAGACGUGUCAUGUAUUCUCAGCGGUACGUACGUACACGUAUGAACGCACGUGCGAGUUUCCAAUAAAAUUGCCAUGUGUGAUGUAUUGUUCUUUUUUAUCGAAUGCCUUUGAUAUAUUGUUCUUUUUUAUCGAAUGCCUUUGAUAUAUUGUUCUUUUUUAUCGAAUGCCUUUGAUAUAUUGUUUACGGGAAUUUACACCCAAAAGAACGUGAAUUUGAACAAGAUAGCCUACAAAUAUGUAUGUUUUUCCACACACAAAAAAUAUAUGUAUGUUCUAACAUUGGGCCUCAGCUUGAAUUUUUUUUUUCGAGGGGUGGGACUCAGGUUGAUGGUCAGGGUCUCAAAUGGCAUGGCCACGAUUUUUAGAGAGGUUGAGCCAGGAUAUGUGAUUGGGGCAUGAUACCAGCUUUUUUUCCAACCGGGCUCACAACCCCUUUCCAUUAAUUUUGCAAUCAACAGAAAUACAUCAGUCUGGUUUCAAGUUCUGUAUCGAGCAUCCACUUGCUAAAGAUAACUAGACUGAAAGAUAGAACUAACCGCAAGCAAAAUGAGACUGAAAGAGGAGACCAGGUUGGUGCAUCAUCAGGAAACCCAUCGUCGGACAAUCCUGGAACGGACCAUCCGCCGUGGCGCGAAAACCUGAUGACAGUUACAAGCAACUGCCCAACCAAAAUACCCAACGUUCCCAGGAUGAAACUGCCAGUAAGCCUCUACAACUAGGCGAACCACAACCAGGAAGCACAAUUGCCAGCGGGCAUCAAACCCCAGUGGACAACAGAACGCAAAAGGAAAGAUCCAAGCGCCGAUUUCAUCUAACCAAUCUGGAUCCCAUCUCUGUCUCCCAAGAGAAGUCUGCCACGAGGGAAGGACCUGUCCGCCAGCGCAGCAACCGCGUGAGCUAACCUCUUCACUCCAGCUUGGAACUUCACCUUCUCAUCCUCCUUAAGCAGACCUCACUAGUAGAAAAAGGGUCAAACGUGAAGCACAUUAGUGCCGGUUUGUAUUUGAGCCAGUACUAAUGGUACCAUUAGUGCCGGUUCGAAUGGAUUUGCAUUAAUGCCGGUUCGUGUUGAACCUUUAGUACCGGUUCGUGGCAUGAACCGGUACUAAAGGGGUGGUGGCAGGCUGGCGUCAGGCCGGGGCCCCACGAUCACCUUUAGUACCGGUUCGUGGCACAAACCGGUACUAAAGGUCUAACCUUUAGUACCGGUUCGUGCCAUGAACCGGUACUAAAGGGGUCUGACCUAUAGUACCGGUUGGAGACACAAACCGGCACUAUAGGGCAAUUUUCAAACUUGAAAAAAUCAUAACUAAAUCAUCGUAAUUCAGAAAAAUACAUAUAAUAUAUCAAAAUAUGCAGACUUUUAAGGAAGAAAUUAGGAAGGCUAUACAGGGAAAAUGCGUGAAGGUUCUCGCAGAGUGUGUUCCUUUAAUCUCACCAACCAGUUAGCUUAGGAUGUGCGAAUCAAUCUGUGGUUGGACGGUUAGAGGGACAGUAGUAUCCACAGCCCAUCAGGGUUUAAGUCCUGGUGCUCACAUUAUUCCUGGAUUUAUUUUAGGAUUUCUGGCGUUGUGCUUUCAGCGGGAGGAGACGUUCCUGUCGACAACGAGGCGCCUACGGUGACUUUGUAAAUGUCAAGAUGAUAUACUGGCUAGGUCUCUCGUAGGUGCUCAUAGGGGUAGGAAUGUGCAUGUGUGCAUUCAUAGGGGUGAGCGUAUGUGCGUAUGUUUGAGCACUUGCGUCUAUACUAUGCUAAAAACAGAUAGCUCGGCAUGUGUGUUAUGCUAUAUGUAUAUAACCUAGUUUCCGUUGUAAAGGGCCCGUGCGUUGCAAUGUGAAAACCCGCGAAAGUUGACCUUGGUACCAUUUGGCAGGAUCUCACAGACCUGCGAGGGCCCCACUUGCCACCCUUCCUUCCCACCGACACGGAGCCUGCAAGUAUACUCUUCAUCCACGUGUUGUGUGGCUCAGACAUGGACGAAAAUACACUGUAAUCAUGCAUGCUUGUCGUCCUGAAUGAAGAUACAUAAAUUUACAGAAUAUUUUUAAUACAGGUUGAAUUUUUUUGAAGUAUACGUUGUCAAUUUUUUGAAUGCAUGACGAACAUAUUUCGAAAACACGUUUGCAGUUUUUUAAUACAUGUGAAACAUUUUUGGAAAACAUGUUUACAAUUUUAUAAUAUACAGGAGGUGCUCUUCGGUCUAGCUGAAGCCGAAGAGGUGCUCUUCGGUCUAACUUAGGCCGAAGACAGGUCUUCGGUGUACUGUAGGCUGAAGAGCUCCGAAGUCGGGCCGAAAAGAACUCUUCGGUCUAUGCUUGGCCGAAGAGUGCACUUCGGUUUAAGCCAAGCCGAAGUGUCCUCUGAGGCCCACCUCUUCGCGUGAACUGCAGACCGAAGUUGCAUGGCACCACACUUCGGUUUACACUUGGCUGAAGAGGACCUCUUCGGUUUAUACUAGGCUGAAGAGUGACCUUUUCCCGCCAAGCCUUUUCCGCCAUCCAUAAUGUAUCUUUCCCUCCAUUUGUUCACGCCAUUUUCUUUCCCUCUACUGUUUCCUUCCAUCCUCUUUCCCGCCCAAUUUUCCUGCCAACCCCUUACCCUCAUUCUAUAAAACCAGACCCCUUGCCUGUUGUUUUCUGCAUCUUUCCUUACCAAUAUUUUCAGUCAUGUCCGACGACAAUUCCGGCGGUUUUACUCCACUAAUGUCUCAUUUGCCCUUGUGCAAUGCCUCAAGAAUGCAUAGGCCUAGUAUGGGGGGUGUGUGAAGGAAAUAUACCCUAGAGGCAAUAAUAAAGAAAUUAUUUAUUUCCUUAUUUCAUGAUAAAUGUUUAUUAUUCAUGCUAGAAUUGUAUUAACCGGAAACAUAAUACAUGGGUGAAUACAUAGACAAACAAAGUGUCACUAGUAUGCCUCUACUUGACUAGCUCGUUGGUCAAAGAUGGUUAUGUUUCCUAACCAUAGACACGAGUUGUCAUUUAAUUAACGGGAUCACAUCAUUAGGAGAAUGAUGUGAUUGACUUGACCCAUUCCGUUAGCUUAGCACACGAUCGUUUAGUAUGUUGCUAUUGCUUUCUUCAUGACUUAUACAUGUUCCUAUGACUAUGAGAUUAUGCAACUCCCAUUUACUAGAGGAACACUUUGUGUGCUACCAAACGUCACAACGUAACUGGGUGAUUAUAAAGGUGCUCUACAAGUGUCUCCAAAGGUACUUGUUGGGUUGGCGUAUUUCGAGAUUAGGAUUUGUCACUUCGAUUGUCGGAGAGGUAUCUCUGGGUCCUCUUGGUAAUGCACAUCACUUAAGCCUUGCAAGCAAUGCAACUAAUGAGUUAGUUGCGGGAUGAUGUAUUACGAAACGAGUAAAGAGACUUGCGAGUAACGAGAUUGAACUAGGUAUUGAGAUACCGACGAUCGAAUCUCGGGCAAGUAACAUACCGAUGACAAAGGGAACAACGUAUGUUGUUAUGCAGUCUGACCGAUAAAGAUCUUCGUAGAAUAUGUAGGAGCCAAUAUGAGCAUCCAGGUUCCGCUAUUGGUUAUUGACUGGAGACAUGUCUCGGUCAUGUCUACAUUGUUCUCGAACCCGUAGGGUCCGCACGCUUAAGGUUUCGAUGACAGUUAUAUUAUGAGUUUAUAAGUUUUGAUGUACCGAAGGAGGUCGGAGUCCCGGAUGAGAUCGAGGACAUAACGAGGAGUCUCGAAAUGGUCGAGACAUAAAGAUCGAUAUAUUGUACGACCAUAUUCGGACAUCGGAAAGGUUCCAAGUGAUUCGGGUAUUUUUCGGACUACCGGAGAGUUACGGGAAUUCGCCGGGGAGUAUAUGGGCCUUAUUGGGCCACACGGGAAUAGAGGAGAGAGGCCAAAAGGAAGGAGGCCCCCCCCCUCUGGUCCGAAUUGGACAAGGGGUGCAACAACAACAUACAACUAUCUAGAUAAAGCAUUUAAAUGCAACAACAAAUGCGAUCAAAAUUGCAACUAAGGUAAUUAUUGAUCCAAUAGCAUAAUGAUACCAAGCCUAUUUAUUAGCGGCAUAUUUUCUAAACUUUCUAAUCUUCAAGCAAAUUGCAUCCAUCUUGAUCUUUGGAUCAUCGACGACAACAACAACAUACAAAUCCAAUUUCAUCUUCUCUUCUCAAUUCUUUUUAAUUUUUCUUUCAAAUACUCAUUUUCUUUUUCAACUAAAUUUAACUUCUCGACGAGAGGGUCGGUGGCAAUUUCUGGUUCACAUACCUCCUAGAUAAAAAUAUAUAUGUCAGCUUGAUGGGCAUAAUUGUCAUAAACACGAAAUGCAACAAAUAGUUAUAAAAGAUAUUAUACCACAUCCGAAUCAUAAAUCGGACAAGGGCCGUCGGCGAAGGAUAUCAAAACCAUGGCACUAUGUAUAACAAACAAUCAUACAAGUAAGAAAAUUAUACAAGCAACUAUCUAAAUCAUAGAAAUAAGAUUUCUUUGCACAAAAAGGAUAAGAACAAGAGCCUCACCAAGGAGGUGUCGGCGACGGGACGGCGCGGGCGAUCGAUGGCGGUGAGGACGGGAAGGCAGUAGUUAAACCACACCUACACAUAUGGAAACUAAGAAGUUAAUUUGAGCUCAAAUUACAUAUAAAUCAAAUAAACUCCCACAUAAUUACUCCCAAACCAAAACCCACAAAUGACUAUACUUAUACAACAUGAAACAAGCUAAACUAGCAAUGAGAGAGGAAAGGACAAAGUUACUAACCUUUUAAACACUUGGAUAGAUGGGGUGCCUCAAAUCUUAACAAAUCUUGGAAGUUAGAUGACACCACUACACUACACACGAUAGGAGUUAUCUUGAACGAAACACAAGGGAAGAAAGUCGGACCCGACAAAGGUCGUCCAGGUAGGUAGCCAUCUUUGAAUUGAAUGAGUGUUCUCCAAAGUAGCUAGCUCGGUGAGAUGAUCGAUAUCUUCAUCACGAACCCUAUAUAAACGCCAAGCUCCAUGAGCUCAGUCCCAGCACACACACACCCAUAGUUCCACCUAAUAUAAUGGCCGGAAGCGCGAGCGCCACUCCGGUCCUCCUCGUCGUCGUGGUCGCGGCCCUCGCCGCGGGGGCCAGCGCGACAUCGACGCUGACGCCGCUCAGCAUCACCAACCGGUGCUCCUUCACGGUGUGGCCGGCGGUGGCCUCCGCAGGCCUAGGCACCGAGCUCCAUCCGGGAGCCAACUGGACCGUGGACGCGUAGGCGAUCCACUACACUGCAGACAUAUGGGGGCGCACGGGCUGCUCCUUCGACGCGGCAGGCAGGGGGCGGUGCCAGACGGCGGACUGCGGCAGCGGGCUGCGGUGCCGGAGCACCGACCCUGCGGCGCCGGCGACCAAGGCCCAGGUCGCCAUCUCCGAGGGCUUCUACCACUACGGCAUCACGUUGGACAAGGGGUUCAACCUGCCCAUGGAUCUCACGUGCAGCUCCGGCGACGCGCUCCGGUGCCGGGAGGACGGGUGCCACGACGCGUUCCCGUACGUGAAGUACAACGACCACUCAUGCACCGCCGCCGGCAGCCGGCUCCAGAUCGUCUUCUGCCCAUGAUGAGCUAGCUAGCGGCAGAACGUAAACAUAUAACCUACACAUAUACUACGUGUAGUAGUACAUACUUAGACGUGUCAUGUAUUCUCAGCGGUACGUACGUACACGUAUGAACGCACGUGCCAGUUUCCAAGAAAAUUGCCAUGUGUGAUGUGCCUUUGAUAUAUUGUUCUUUUUUAUCGAAUGCCUUUGAUAUAUUGUUCUUUUUUAUCGAAUGCCUUUGAUAUAUUCUUUACGGGAAUUUACACACAAAAGAACGUGAAUUUAAACAAGAUAGCCUACAAAUAUGUAUGUUUUUCCACACACAAAAAAUAUAUGGAUGUUCUAACAUUGGGACUCAGCUUGAUUUUUUUUUUCGAGGGGUGGGACUCAGGUUGAUGGUCAGGGUCUCAAAUGGCAUGGCCAUGAUUUUUAGAGAGGUUGAGCCAGGAUAUGUGAUUGGGGCAUGAUACCAGCUUUUUUUUCCAACCGGGCUCACAAACCCUUUCCAUUAAUUUUGCAAUCAACGGAAAUACAUCAGUCUGAUUUCAAGUUCUGUAUCGAGCAUCCACUUGCUAAAGAUAACUAGACUGAAAGAUAGAACUAACCGCAAGCAAAAUGAGACUGAAAGAGGAGAGCAGGUUGGUGCAUCAUCAGGAAACCCAUCGCCGGACAAUCCUGGAACGGACCAUCCGCCGUGGCGCGAAAACCUGAUGACACUUACAAGCAACUGCCCAACGAAAAUACCCAAGGUUCCCAGGAUGAAACUGCCAGUAAGCCUCUACGACUAGGCGAACCACAACCAGGAAGCACAAUUGCCAGCUGGCAUCAAAACCCAGUGGACAACAGAACGCAAAAGGAAAGAUCCAAGCGCCGAUUUCAUCUAACCAAUCUGGAUCCCAUCUCUGUCUCCCAAGAGAAGUCUGCCACGAGGGAAGGACCUGUCCGCCAGCGCAGCAGCCGCGUGAGCUAACCUCUUCACUCCAGCUUGGAACUUCACCUUCUCAUCCUCCUUAAGCAGACCUCACUAGUAGAAAAAGGGUCAAACGUGAAGCACAUUAGUGCCGGUUUGUAUUUGAGCCGGUACUAAUGGUACCAUUAGUGCCGGUUCGAACGGAUUUGCAUUAAUGCCGGUUCGUGUUGAACCUUUAGUACCGGUUCGUGGCACGAACCGGUACUAAAGGGGUGGUGGCAGGCUGGCGUCAGGCCGGGGCCCCACGAUCACCUUUAGUACCGGUUCGUGGUACGAACCGGUACUAAAGGUCUAACCUUUAGUACCGGUUCAUGCCAUGAACCGGCACUAAAGGGGUCUGACCUAUAGUACCGGUUGGAGACACAAACCGGCAUUAUAGGGCAAUUUUCAAACUUGAAAAAAUCAUAACUAAAUCAUCGUAAUUCAGAAAAAUACAUAUAAUAUAUCAAAAUAUGCAGACUUUUAAGGAAGAAAUUAGGAAGGCUAUACAGGGAAAAUGCGUGAAGGUUCUCGCAGAGUGUGUUCCUUUAAUCUCACCAACCAGUUAGCUUAGGAUGUGCGAAUCAACAUGUGGUUGGACGGUUAGAGGGACAGUAGUAUCCACAGCCCAUCAGGGUUUAAGUCCUGGUGCUCACAUUAUUUCUGGAUUUAUUUUAGGAUUUCUGGCGUUGUGCUUUCAGCAGGAGGAGACGUUCCUGUCGACAACGAGGCGCCUACGGUGACUUUGUAAAUGUCAAGAUGAUAUACUGGCUAGGUCUCUCGUAGGUGCUCAUAGGGGUAGGAAUGUGCAUGUGUGCAUUCAUAGGGGUGAGCGUAUGUGCGUAUGUUUGAGCACUUGCGUCUAUACUAUGCUAAAAAACAGAUAGCUCGGAAUGUGUGUUAUGCUAUAUGUAUAUAACCUAGUUUCCGCUAUAAAGGGCCCGUGCUUUGCAAUGUGAAAACCCGCGAAAGUUGACCUCGGUACCAAUUGGCAGGAUCUCACAGACCUGCGAGGGCCCCACUUGCCACCCUUCCUUCCCACCGACACGGAGCCUCCAAGUAUACUCUUCAUCCACAUGUUGUGUGGCUCAGACAUGGAAGAAAAUACACUGUAAUCGUGCAUGCUUGUUGUCCUGAAUGAAGAUACAUAAAUUUACAGAAUAUUUUUAAUACAGGUUGAAUUUUUUUGAAGUACACAUUGUCAAUUUUUUUAAUGCAUGACGAACAUAUUUCGAAAACACGUUUGCAGUUUUUUAAUACAUGUGAAACAUUUUUGGAAAACAUGUUUACAAUUUUAUAAUAUACAGGAGGUGCUCUCCGGUCUAGCUGAAGCUGAAGAGGUGCAAUUCGGUCUAACUUAGGACGAAGACAGGUCUUCGGUGUACUGUAGACUGAAGAGCUCCGAAGUCGGGCCGAAAAGAACUCUUCGGUCUACGCUUGGCCGAAGAGUGCACUUCGGUUUAAGCCAAGCCGAAGUGUCCUCUGACGCCCACCUCUUCGCGUGAACUGAAGACCGAAGUUGCAUGGAACCACACUUCGGUUUACACUUGGCUGAAGAGGACCUCUUGGGUUUAUACUAGGCUGAAGAGUGACCUUUUCCCGCCAGGCCUUUUCCGCCAUCUGUAAUGUAUCUUUCCCUCCAUUUGUUCACGCCAUUUUCUUUCCCUCCACUGUUUCCUUCCAUCCUCUUUCCCGCCCAAUUUUCCUGCCAACCCCUUACCCUCAUUCUUUAAAACCAGACCCCUUGCAUGUUGUUUUCUGCAUCUUUCCUUAGCAAUAUUUUCAGUCAUGUCCGACGAAAAUUCCGGUGGUUUUACUCCACUAAUGUCUCAUUUGCCCUUGUGCAAUGCAUCAAGAAUUCAUAGGCAUAGUAUGGGGUGUGUGUGAAUCAAAUAUACCCUAGAGGCAAUAAUAAAGUUAUUAUUUAUUUCCUUAUUUCAUGAUAAAUGUUUAUUAUUCAUGCUAGAAUUGUAUUAACCGGAAACAUAAUACAUGUGUGAAUACAUAGACAAACAAAGUGUCACUAGUAUGCCUCUACUUGACUAGCUCGUUGGUCAAAGAUGGUUAUGUUUCCUAACCAUCGACACGAGUUGUCAUUUGAUUAACGGGAUCACAUCAUUGGGAGAAUGAUGUGAUUGACUUGACCAAUUCCGUUAGCUUAGCACACGAUCGUUUAGUAUGUUGCUAUUGCUUUCUUCAUGACGUAUACAUGUUCCUAUGACUAUGAGAUUAUGCAACUCCCAUUUACCAGAGGAACACUUUGUGUGCUACCAAAUGUCACAACGUAACUGGGUGAUUAUAAAGAUGCUCUACAAGUGUCUCCGAAGGUACUUGUUGGGUUGGCGUAUUUCGAGAUUAGGAUUUGUCACUUCGAUUGUCGGAGAGGUAUCUUUGGGUCCUCUUGGUAAUGCACAUCACUUAAGCCUUGCAAGCAAUGCAACUAAUGAGUUAGUUGCGGGAUGACGUAUUACGAAACGAGUAAAGAGACUUGCCAGUAACGAGAUUGAACUAGGUAUUGAGAUACCGGCGAUCGAAUCUCGGGCAAGUAACAUACCGAUGACAAAGGGAACAACGUAUGUUGUUAUGCAGUCUGACCGAUAAAGAUCUUCGUAGAAUAUGUAGGAGCCAAUAUGAGCAUCCAGGUUCCGCUAUUGGUUAUUGACUGGAGACGUGUCUCGGUCAUGUCUACAUUGUUCUUGAACCCGUAGGGUCGGCACGCUUAAGGUUUCGAUGACAAUUAUAUUAUGAGUUUAUAAGUUUUGAUGUACCGAAGGAGUUCGGAGUCCCGGAUGAGAUCGAGGACAUAACGAGGAGUCUCGAAAUGGUCGAGACAUAAAGACCGAUAUAUUGGACGACCAUAUUCGGACAUCGGAAAGGUUCCGAGUGAUUCGGGUUUUUUUCGGACUACCGGAGAGUUACGGGAAUUCGCCGGGGAGUAUAUGGGCCUUAUUGGGCCACACGGGAAUAGAGGAGAGAGGCCAAAAGGAAGGAGGCCCCCCCUCUGGUCCUAAUUGGACAAGGGGUGCAACAACAACAUACAACUAUCUAGAUAAAGCAUUUAAAUGCAACAACAAAUGCGACCAAAAUUGCAACUAAGGUAAUUAUUGAUCCAAUAGCAUAAUGAUACCAAGCCUAUUUAUUAGCGGCAUAUUUUCUAAACUUUCUAAUCUUCAAGCGCAUUGCAUCCAUCUUGAUCUUUGGAUCAUCGACGACAACAGCAACAUACAAAUCCAAUUUCAUCUUCUCUUCUCAAUUCUUUUUAAUUUUUCUUUCAAAUACUCAUUUUCUUUUUCAACUAAAUUUAACUUCUCGACAAGAGGGUCGGUGGCAAUUUCUGGUUCACAUACCUCCUAGAUAAAAGUAUAUAUGUGAGCUUGAUGGGCAUAAUUGUCAUAAACACGAAAUGCAACAAAUAGUUAUAAAGAUAUUAUACCACAUCCGAAUCAUAAAUCGGACAAGGGCCAUCGGCGAAGGAUAUCAAAACCAUGGCACUACGUAUAACAAACAAUCAUACAAGUAAGAAAAUUAUACAAGCAACUAUCUAAAUGAUAGAAAUAAGAUUUCUUUGCACAAAAAGGAUAAGAACAAAAGCCUCACCAAGGAGGUGUCGGCGACGGGACGGCGUGGGCGAUCGAUGGCGGUGAGGACGGGAAGGCAGUAGUUAAACCACACCUACACAUAUGGAAACUAAGAAGUUAAUUUGAGCUCAAAUUACAUAUAAAUCAAAUAAACUCCCACAUAAUUACUCCCAAACAAAAACCCACAAAUGACUAUACUUAUACAGCAUGAAACAAGCUGAACUAGCAAUGAGAGAGGAAAGGACAAAGUUACUAACCUUUUAAACACUUGUAUAGAUGGGGUGCCUCAAAUCUUAACAAAUCUUGGCAGUUAGAUGACACCACUACACUACACACGGUAGGAGUUAUCUUGAACGAAACACAAGGGAAAAAAGUCGGACCCGACAAAGGUCGUCCAGGUAGGUAGCCAUCUUUGAAUUGAAUGAGUGUUCUCCAAAGUAGCUAGCUCGGUGAGAUGAUCAACAUCUUCAUCACGAACCCUAUAUAAACGCCAAGCUCCAUGAGCUCAGUCCCAGCACACACACACCCACAGUUCCACCUAAUAUAAUGGCCGGAAGCGCGAGCGCCACUCCAGUCCUCCUCGUCGUCGUGGUCGUGGCCCUCGCCGCGGGGGCCAGCACGACAUCGACGCUGACGCUGCUCAGCAUCACCAACCGGUGCUCCUUCACGGUGUGGCCGGCGGUGGCCUCCACAGGCCUCGGCACCGAGCUCCAUCCGGGAGCCAACUGGACCGUGGACGCGUCGGCGAUCCACUACACCGCGGACAUAUGGGGGCGCACGGGCUGCUCCUUCGACGUGGCAGGCAGGGGGCGGUGCCAGACGGCGGACUGCAGCAGCGGGCUGCGGUGCCGGAGCACCGACCCUGCGGCGCCGGCGACCAAGGCCCAGGUCGCCAUCUCCGAGGGCUUCUACCACUACGGCAUCAGGUUGGACAAGGGGUUCAACCUGCCCAUGGAUCUCACGUGCAGCUCCGGCGACGCGCUCCGGUGCCGGGAGGACGGGUGCCACGACGCGUUCCCAUACGUGAAGUACAACGACCACUCAUGCACCACCGCCGGCAGCCGGCUCCAGAUCGUCUUCUGCCCAUGAUGAGCUAGCUAGCUAGCGGCAGAACGUAAACAUAUAACCUACAAUAUACUACAUGUAGUAGUACAUACUCAGACGUGUCAUGUAUUCUCAGCGGUACGUACGUACACGUAUGAACACACGUGCGAGUUUCCAAUAAAAUUGCCAUGUGUGAUGUGCCUUUGAUAUAUUGUUCUUUUUUAUCGAAUGCUUUUGAUAUAUUGUUCUUUUUUAUUGAAUGCCUUUGAUAUAUUGUUUACGGGAAUUUACACACAAAAGAACGUGAAUUUGAACAAGAUAGCCUACAAAUAUGUAUGUUUUUCCACACACACAAAAUAUAUGUAUGUUCUAACAUUGGGACUUAGCUUGAAUAUUUUUUUUCGAGGGGUGGGACUCAGGUUGAUGGUCAGGGUCUCAAAUGGCAUGGCCACGAUUUUUAGAGAGGUUGAGCCAGGAUAUGUUAUUGGGGCAUGAUACCAGCUUUUUUUCCAACCGGGCUCACAACCCCUUUCCAUUAAUUUUGCAAUCAACGGAAAUACAUCAGUCUGGUUUCAAGUUCUGUAUCGAGCAUCCACUUGCUAAAGAUAACUAGACUGAAAGAUAGAACUAACCGCAAGCAAAAUGAGACUGAAAGAGGAGAGCAGGUUGGUGCAUCAUCAGGAAACCCAUCGUCGGACAAUCCUGGAACGGACCAUCCGCCGUGGCGCGAAAACCUGAUGACACUUACAAGCAACUGCCCAACCAAAAUACCCAAGGUUCCGAGGAUGAAACUGCCAGUAAGCCUCUACGACUAGGCGAAGCACAACCAGGAAGCACAAUUGCCAGCGGGCAUCAAACCCCAGUGGACAACAGAACGCAAAAGGAAAGAUCCAAGCGCCAAUUUCAUCUAACCAAUCUGGAUCCCAUCUCUGUCUCCCAAGAGAAGUCGCCACGAGGGAAGGACCUGUCCGCCAGCGCAGCAGCCGCGUGAGCUAACCUCUUCACUCCAGCUUGGAACUUCACCUUCUCAUCCUCCUUAAGCAGACCUCACUAGUAGAAAAAGGGUCAAACGUGAAGCACAUUAGUGCCGGUUUGUAUUUGAGCCGGUACUAAUGGUACCAUUAGUGCCGGUUCGAACGGAUUUGCAUUAAUGCCGGUUCGUGUUGAACCUUUAAUACCGGUUCGUGGCACGAACCGGUACUAAAGGGGUGGUGGCAGGCUGGCGUCAGGCCGGGGCCCCACGAUCACCUUUAGUACCGGUUCGUGGCACGAACCGGUACUAAAGGGGUCUGACCUAUAGUACCGGUUGGAGACACAAACCGGCACUAUAGGGCAAUUUUCAAACUUGAAAAAAUCAUAACUAAAUCAUCGUAAUUCAGUAAAAUACAUAUAAUAUAUCAAAAUAUGCAGACUUUUAAGGAAGAAAUUAGGAAGGCUAUACAGGGAAAAUGCGUGAAGGUUCUCGCAGAGUGUGUUCCUUUAAUCUCACCAACCAGUUAGCUUAGGAUGUGCGAAUCAAUCUGUGGUUGGACGGUUAGAGGGACAGUAGUAUCCACAGCCCAUCAGGGUUUAAGUCCUGGUUCUCACAUUAUUCCUGGAUUUAUUUUAGGAUUUCUGGCGUUGUGCUUUCAGCGGGAGGAGACGUUCCUGUCGACAACGAGGCGCCUACGGUGACUUUGUAAAUGUCAAGAUGAUAUACUGGCUAGGUCUCUCGUAGGUGCUCAUAGGGGUAGGAAUGUGCAUGUGUGCAUUCAUAGGGGUGAGCGUAUGUGCGUAUGUUUGAGCACUUGCGUCUAUACUAUGCUAAAAAAUAGAUAGCUCGGAAUGUGUGUUAUGCUAUAUGUAUAUAACCUAGUUUCCGCUGUAAAGGGCCCGUGCGUUGCAAUGUGAAAACCCGCGAAAGUUGACCUCGGUACCAAUUGGCAGGAUCUCACAGACCUGCGAGGGCCCCACUUGCCACCCUUCCUUCCCACCGACACGGAUCCUGCAAGUAUACUCUUCAUCCACGUGUUGUGUGGCUCAAACAUGGACGAAAAUACACAGUAAUCGUGCAUGCUUGUCGUCCUGAAUGAAGAUACAUAAAUUUACAGAAUAUUUUUAAUACAGGUUGAAUUUUUUUGAAGUACACGUUGUCAAUUUUUUGAAUGCAUGACGAACAUAUUUCGAAAACACGUUUGCAGUUUUUUAAUACAUGUGAAACAUUUUUGGAAAACAUGUUUACAAUUUUAUAAUAUACAGGAGGUGCUCUUCGGUCUAGCUGAAGCCGAAGAGGUGCUCUUCGGUCUAACUUAGGCCGAAGACAGGUCUUCGGUGUACUGUAGACUGAAGAGCUCCGAAGCCGGGCUGAAAAGAACUCUUCGGUCUACGCUUGGCCGAUGAGUGCACUUCGGUUUAAGCCAAGCCGAAGUGUCCUCUGAGGCCCACCUCUUCCCGUGAACUGCAGACCGAAGUUGCAUGGCACCACACUUCGGUUUACACUUGGCUGAAGAGGACCUCUUCGGUUUAUACUAGGCUGAAGAGUGACCUUUUCCCGCCAAGCCUUUUCCGCCAUCUGUAAUGUAUCUUUCCCUCCAUUCGUUCACGCCAUUUUCUUUCCCUCCACUGUUUCCUUCCAUCCUCUUUCCCGCCCAAUUUUCCUGCCAACCCCUUACCCUCAUUCUAUAAAACCAGACCCCUUGCCUGUUGUUUUCUGCAUCUUUCCUUACCAAUAUUUUCAGUCAUGUCCGACGACAAUUCCGGCGGUUUUACUCCACUAAUGUCUCAUUUUCCCUUGUGCAAUGCCUCAAGAAUGCAUAGGCCUAGUAUGGGGUGUGUGUGGAGGAAAUAUACCCUAGAGGCAAUAAUAAAGUUAUUAUUUAUUUCCUUAUUUCAUGAUAAAUGUUUAUUAUUCAUGCUAGAAUUGUAUUAACCGGAAACAUAAUACAUGUGUGAAUACAUAGACAAACAAAGUGUCACUAGUAUGCCUCUACUUGACUAGCUCGUUGGUCAAAGAUGGUUAUGUUUCCUAACCAUAGACACGAGUUGUCAUUUGAUUAACGGGAUCACAUCAUUAGGAGAAUGAUGUGAUUGACUUGACCCAUUCCGUUAGCUUAGCACACGAUCGUUUAGUAUGUUGCUAUUGCUUUCUUCAUGACUUAUACAUGUUCCUAUGACUAUGAGAUUAUGCAACUCACAUUUACCAGAGGAACACUUUGUGUGCUACCAAACGUCACAACGUAACUGGGUGAUUAUAAAGGUGCUCUGCAAGUGUCUCUGAAGUUACUUGUUGGGUUGGCGUAUUUCGAGAUUAGGAUUUGUCACUUCGAUUGUCGGAGAGGUAUCUCUGGGUCCUCUUGGUAAUGCACAUCACUUAAGCCUUGCAAGCAAUGCAACUAAUGAGUUAGUUGCGGGAUGAUGUAUUACGGAACGAGUAAAGAGACUUGCCAGUAACGAGAUUGAACUAGGUAUUGAGAUACCGACGAUCGAAUCUCGGGCAAGUAACAUAUCGAUGACAAAGGGAACAACGUAUGUUAUGCAGUCUGAUCGAUAAAGAUCUUCGUAGAAUAUGUAGGAGCCAAUAUGAGCAUCCAGGUUCCGCUAUUGGUUAUUGACUGGAGACAUGUCUCGGUCAUGUCUACAUUGUUCUCGAACCCGUAGGGUCCGCACGCUUAAGUUUUCGAUGACAGUUAUAUUAUGAGUUUAUAAGUUUUGAUGUACCGAAGGAGUUCGGAGUCCCGGAUGAGAUCGAGGACAUGACGAGGAGUCUCGAAAUGGUCGAGACAUAAAGAUCGAUAUAUUGGACGACCAUAUUCGGACAUCGGAAAGGUUCCGAGUGAUUCGGGUAUUUUUCGGCCUACCGAAGAGUUACGGGAAUUCGUCGGGGAGUAUAUGGGCCUUAUUGGGCCAUACGGGAAUAGAGGAGAGAGGCCAAAAGGAAGGAGGCCCCCCCUCUGGUCCGAAUUGGACAAGGGGUGCAACAACAACAUACAACUAUCUAGAUAAUGCAUUUAAAUGCAACAAUAAAUGUGAUCAAAAUUGCAACUAAGGUAAUAAUUGAUCCAAUAGCAUAAUGAUACCAAGCCUAUUUAUUAGCGGCAUAUUUUCUAAACUUUCUAAUCUUCAAGCGCAUUGCAUCCAUCUUGAUCUUUGGAUCAUCGACGACAACAGCAACAUACAAAUCCAAUUUCAUCUUCUCUUCUCAAUUCUUUUUAAUUUUUCUUUCAAAUACUCAUUUUCUUUUUCUACUAAAUUUAACUUCUCGACAAGAGGGUCGGUGGCAAUUUCUGGUUCACAUACCUCCUAGAUAAAAAUAUAUAUGUCAGCUUGAUGGGCAUAAUUGUCAUAAACACGAAAUGCAACAAAUAGUUAUAAAAGAUAUUAUACCACAUCCGAAUCAUAAAUCGGACAAGGGCCGUCGGCGAAGGAUAUCAAAACCAUGGCACUACGUAUAACAAACAAUCAUACAAGUAAGAAAAUUAUACAAGCAACUAUCUAAAUCAUAGAAAUAAGAUUUCUUUGCACAAAAAGGAUAAGAACAAGAGCCUCACCAAGGAGGUGUCGGCGACGGGACGGCGCGGGCGACCGAUGGCGGUGAGGACGGGAAGGCAGUAGUUAAACCACACCUACACAUAUGGAAACUAAGAAGUUAAUUUGAGCUCAAAUUACAUAUAAAUCAAAUAAACUCCCACAUAAUUACUCCCAAACCAAAACCCACAAAUGACUAUACUUAUACAGCAUGAAACAAGCUAAACUAGCAAUGAGAGAGGAAAGGACAAAGUUACUAACCUUUUAAACACUUAGAUAGAUGGGGUGCCUCAAAUCUUAACAAAUCUUGGCAGUUAGAUGACACCACUACACUACACACGGUAGGAGUGAUCUUGAACGAAACACAAGGGAAAAAAGUCGGACCCGACAAAGGUCGUCCAGGUAGGUAGCCAUCUUUGAAUUGAAUGAGUGUUCUCCAAAGUAGCUAUCUCGGUGAGAUGAUCGACAUCUUCAUCACGAACCCUAUAUAAACGCCAAGCUCCAUGAGCUCAGUCCCAGCACACACACACCCAUAGUUCCACCUAAUAUAAUGGCCGGAAGCGCGAGCGCCACUCUGGUCCUCCUCGUCGUCGUGGUCGCGGCCCUCGCCGUGGGGGCCAGCGCGACAUCGACGCUGACGCCGCUCAGCAUCACCAACCGGUGCUCCUUCACGGUAUGGCCGGCGGUGGCCUCCGCAGGCCUCGGCACGGAGCUCCAUCCGGGAGCCAACUGGACCGUGGACGCGUCGGCGAUCCACUACACCGCGGACAUAUGGGGGCGCACGGGCUGCUCCUUCGACGCGGCAGGCAGGGGACGGUGCCAGACGGUGGACUGCGGCAGCGGGCUACGGUGCCGGAGCAACGACCCUGCGGCGCCGACGACCAAGGCCCAGGUCGCCAUCUCCGAGGGCUUCUACCACUACGGCAUCAUGUUGGACAAGGGGUUCAACCUGCCCAUGGAUCUCACGUGCAGCUCCGGCGACGCGCUCCGGUGCCGGGAGGACGGGUGCCACGACGCGUUCCCGUACGUGAAGUACAACGACCACUCAUGCACCGCCGCCGGCAGCCGGCUCCAAAUCAUCUUCUGCCCAUGAUGAGCUAGCUAGCGGCAGAAUGUAAACAUAUAACCUACACAUAUACUACGUGUAGUAGUACAUACUCAGACGUGUCAUGUAUUCUCAGCGGUACGUACGUACACGUAUGAACGCACGUGCGAGUUUCCAAUAAAAUUGCCAUGUGUGAUGUGCCUUUGAUAUAUUGUUCUUUUUUAUCGAAUGCCUUUGAUAUAUUGUUCUUUUUUAUUGAAUGCCUUUGAUAUAUUGUUUACGGGAAUUUACACACAAAAGAACGUGAAUUUGAACAAGAUAGCCUACAAAUAUGUAUGUUUUUCCACACACAAAAAAUAUAUGUAUGUUCUAACAUUGGGACUCAGCUUGAUUUUUUUUUCGAGGGGUGGGACUCAGGUUGAUGGUCAGGGUCUCAACUGGCAUGGCCACGAUUUUUAUAGAGAUUGAGCCAGGAUAUGUGAUUGGGGCAUGAUACCAGCUUUUUUUCCAACCGGGCUCACAACCCCUUUCCAUUAAUUUUGCAAUCAACGGAAAUACAUCAGUCUGGUUUCAAGUUCUAUAUCGAGCAUCCACUUGCUAAAGAUAACUAGACUGAAAGAUAGAACUGACCGCAAGCAAAAUGAGACUGAAAGAGGAGAGCAGGUUGGUGCAUCAUCAGGAAACCCAUCGUCGGACAAUCCUGGAACGGACCAUCCGUCGUGGCGCGAAAACCUGAUGACACUUACAAGCAACUGCCCAACCAAAAUACCCAAGGUUCCCAGGAUGAAAUUGCCAGUAAGCCUCUACGACUAGGCGAACCACAACCAGGAAGCACAAUUACCAGCGGGCAUCAAACCCCAGUGGACAACAGAACGCAAAAGGAAAGAUCCAAGCGCCGAUUUCAUCUAACCAAUCUGGAUCCCAUCUCUGUCUCCCAAGAGAAGUCUGCCACGAGGGAAGGACCUGUCCGCCAGCGCAGCAGCCGCGUGAGCUAACCUCUUCACUCCAUCUUGGAACUUCACCUUCUCAUCCUCCUUAAGCAGACCUCACUAGUAGAAAAAGGGUCAAACGUGAAGCACAUUAGUGCCGGUUUGUAUUUGAGCCGGUACUAAUGGUACCAUUAGUGCCGGUUCGAACGGAUUUGCAUUAAUGCCGGUUCGUGUUGAACCUUUAGUACCGGUUCGUGGCACGAACUGGUACUAAAGGGGUGGUGGCAGGCUGGCGUCAGGCCGGGGCCCCACGAUCACCUUCAGUACGGGUUCGUGGCACGAACCGGUACUAAAGGUCUAACCUUUAGUACCGGUUCGUGCCAUGAACCGGUACUAAAGGGGUCUGACCUAUAGUACCGGUUGGAGACACAAACCGGCACUAUAGGGCAAUUUUCAAACUUGAAAAAAUCAUAACUAAAUCAUCGUAAUUCAGAAAAAUACAUAUAAUAUAUCAAAAUAUGCAGACUUUUAAGAAAGAAAUUAGGAAGGCUAUACAGGGAAAAUGCGUGAAGGUUCUCGCAGAGUGUGUUCCUUUAAUCUCACCAACCAGUUAGCUUAGGAUGUGCGAAUCAACCUGUGGUUGGACGGUUAGAGGGACAAUAGUAUCCACAACCCAUCAUGGUUUAAGUCCUGGUGCUCACAUUAUUCCUGGAUUUAUUUUAGGAUUUCUGGCGUUGUGCUUUCAGCGGGAGGAGACGUUCCUGUCGACAACGAGGCGCCUACGGUAACUUUGUAAAUGUCAAGAUGAUAUACUGGCUAGGUCUCUCGUAGGUGCUCAUAGGGGUAGGAAUGUGCAUGUGUGCAUUCAUAGGGGUGAGCGUAUGUGCGUAUGUUUGAGCACUUGCGUCUAUACUAUGCUAAAAACAGAUAGCUCGGAAUGUGUGUUAUGCUAUAUGUAUAUAACCUAGUUUCCGCUGUAAAGGGCCCGUGCGUUGCAAUAUGAAAACCCGCGAAAGUUGACCUCGGUACCAAUUGGCAGGAUCUCACAGACCUGCGAGGGCCCCACUUGCCACCCUUCCUUCCCACCGACACGGAGCCUCCAAGUAUACUCUUCAUCCACGUGUUGUGUGGCUGAGACAUGGACAAAAAUACACAGUAAUCGUGCAUUCUUGUCGUCCUGAAUGAAGAUACAUAAAUUUACAGAAUAUUUUUAAUACAGGUUGAAUUUUUUUGAAGUACACGUUGUCAAUUUUUUGAAUGCAUGACGAACAUAUUUCGAAAACACGUUUGCAGUUUUUUAAUACAUGUGAAACAUUUUUGGAAAACAUGUUUACAAUUUUAUAAUAUACAGGAGGUGCUCUUCGGUCUAGCUGAAGCCGAAGAGGUGCUCUUCGAUCUAACUUAGGCCGAAGACAGGUCUUCGGUGUACUGUAGACUGAAGAGCUCCGAAGUCGGGCCAAAAAGAACUCUUCGGUCUACGCUUGGCUGAAGAAUGCACUUCGGUUUAAGCCAAGCCGAAGUGUCCUCUGAGGCCCACCUCUUCGCGUGAACUGCAGACCGAAGUUGCAUGGCAGCACACUUCGGUUUACACUUGGCUGAAGAGGACCUCUUUGGUUUAUACUAGGCUGAAGAGUGACCUUUUCCCGCCAAGCCUUUUCCGCCAUCUGUAAUGUAUCUUUCCCUCCAUUUGUUCACGCCAUUUUCUUUCCCUCCACUGUUUCCUUCCAUCCUCUUUCCUGCCCAGUUUUCCUGCCAACCCCUUACCGUCAUUCUAUAAAACCAGACCUCUUGCCUGUUGUUUUCUGAAUCUUUCCUUAGCAAUAUUUUCAGUCAUGUCCGACGACAAUUCCGGCGGUUUUACUCCACUAAUGUCUCAUUUGCCCUUGUGCAAUGCCUCAAGAAUGCAUAGGCCUAGUAUGGGGGGUGUGUGAAGGAAAUAUACCCUAGAGGCAAUAAUAAAGUUAUUAUUUAUUUCCUUAUUUCAUGAUUAAUAUUUAUUAUUCAUGCUAGAAUUGUAUUAACCGGAAACAUAAUACAUGUGUGAAUACAUAGACAAACAAAGUGUCACCAGUAUGCCUCUACUUGACUAGCUCGUUGGUCAAAGAUGGUUAUGUUUCCUAACCAUAGACACGAGUUGUCAUUUGAUUAACGGGAUCACAUCAUUAGGAGAAUGAUGUGAUUGACUUGACCCAUUCCGUUAGCUUAGCACACGAUCGUUUAGUAUGUUGCUAUUGCUUUCUUCAUGAAUUAUACAUGUUCCUAUGACUAUGAGAUUAUGCAACUCCCAUUUACUAGAGGAACACUUUGUGUUCUACCAAACGUCACAACGUAACUGGGUGAUUAUAAAGGUGCUCUACAAGUGUCUCUGAAGGUACUUGUUGGGUUGGCGUAUUUCGAGAUUAGGAUUUGUCACUUCGAUUGUCGGAGAGGUAUCUCUGGGUCCUCUUGAUAAUGCACAUCACUUAAGCCUUGCAAGCAAUGCAACUAAUGAGUUAGUUGCGGGAUGAUGUAUUACGGAACGAGUAAAGAGACUUGCCAGUAACGAGAUUGAACUAGGUAUUGAGAUACCGACGAUCGAAUCUCGGGCAAGUAACAUACCGAUGACAAAGGGAACAACGUAUGUUGUUAUGCUGUCUGACCGAUAAAGAUCUUCGUAGAAUAUGUAGGAGCCAAUAUGAGCAUCCAGGUUCCGCUAUUGGUUAUUGACUGGAGACGUGUCUCGGUCAUGUCUACAUUGUUCUCGAACCCGUAGGGUCCGCACGCUUAAGGUUUCGAUGACAGUUAUAUUAUGAGUUUAUAAGUUUUGAUGUACCGAAGGAGUUCGGAGUCCCGGAUGAGAUCGAGGACAUGACGAGGAGUCUCGAAAUGGUCGAGACAUAAAGAUCGAUAUAUUGGACAACCAUAUUCGGACAUCGUAAAGGUUCCGCGUGAUUCGGGUAUUUUUCGGACUACCGGAGAGUUACGGGAAUUCGCCGGGGACUAUAUGGGCCUUAUUGGGCCAUACGGGAAUAGAGGAGAGAGGCCAAAAGGAAGGAGGCCCCCCUCUGGUCUGAAUUGGACAAGGGGUGCAACAACAACAUACAACUAUCUAGAUAAAGCAUUUAAAUGCAACAACAAAUGCGAUCAAAAUUGCAACUAAGGUAAUAAUUGAUCCAAUAGCAUAAUGAUACCAAGCCUAUUUAUUUGCGGCAUAUUUUCUAAACUUUCUAAUCUUCAAGCGCAUUGCAUCCAUCUUGAUCUUUGGAUCAUCGACGACAACAGCAACAUACAAAUCCAAUUUCAUCUUCUCUUUUCAAUUCUUUUUAAUUUUUCAUUCAAAUACUCAUUUUCUUUUUCAACUAAAUUUAACUUCUCGACAAGAGGGUCGGUGGCAAUUUCUGAUUCACAUACCUCCUAAAUAAAAAUAUAUAUGUUAGCUUGAUGGGCAUAAUUGUCAUAAACACAAAAUGCAACAAAUAGUUAUAAAAGAUAUUAUACCACAUCCGAAUCAUAAAUCAGACAAGGGCCGUCGGCGAAGGAUAUCAAAACCAUGGCACUACGUAUAACAAACAAUCAUACAAGUAAGAAAAUUAUACAAGCUACUAUCUAAAUCAUAGAAAUAAGAUUUCUUUGCACAAAAAGGAUAAGAACAAGAGCCUCACCAAGGAGGUGUCGGCGACGGGACGGCGCGGGCGAUCGAUGAUGGUGAGGACGGGAAGGCAGUAGUUAAACCACACCUACACAUAUGGAAACUAAGAAGUUAAUUUGAGCUCAAAUUACAUAUAAAUCAAAUAAACUCCCACAUAAUUACUCCCAAACCAAAACCCACAAAUGACUAUACUUAUACAGCAAGAAACAAGCUAAACUAGCAAUGAGAGAGGAAAGGACAAAGUUACUAACCUUUUAAACACUUGGAUAGAUGGGGUGCCUCAAAUCUUAACAAAUCUUGGCAGUUAGAUGACACCACUACACUACACACGGUAGGAGUUAUCUUGAACGAAACACAAGGGAAAAAAGUCGGACCCGACAAAGGUCGUCCAGGUAGGUAGCCAUCUUUGAAUUGAAUGAGUGUUCUCCAAAGUAGCUAGCUCGGUGAGAUGAUCGACAUCUUCAUCACGAACCCUAUACAAACGCCAAGCUCCAUGAGCUCAGUCCCAGCACACACACACACCCACAGUUCCACCUAAUAUAAUGGCCGGAAGCGCGAGCGCCACUCCGGUCCUCCUCGUCGUCGUGCUCGCGACCCUCGUCGCGGGGGCCAGCACGACAUCGACGCUGACGCCGCUCAGCAUCACCAACCGGUGCUCCUUCACGGUGUGGCCGGCGGUGGCCUCCGCAGGCCUCGGCACCGAGCUCCAUCCGGGAGCCGACUGGACCGUGGACGCGUCGGUGAUCCACUACACCGCGGACAUAUGGGGGCGCACGGGGUGCUCCUUCGACGCGGCAGGCAGGGGGCGGUGCCAGACGGCGGACUGCGGCAGCGGGCUGCGGUGCCGGAGCACCGACCUUGCGGCACCGGCGACCAAGGCCCAGGUCGCCAUCUCCGAGGGCUUCUACCACUACGGCAUCACGUUGGACAAGGAGUUCAACCUGCCCAUGGAUCUCACGUGCAGCUCCGGCGACGCGCUCCGGUGCCGGGAGGACGGGCGCCACGAUGCGUUCCCGUACGUGAAGUACAACGACCACUCGUGCACCGCCGUCGGCAGCCGGCUCCAGACCGUCUUCUGCCCAUGAUGAGCUAGCUAGCGGCAGAAUGUAAACAUAUAACCUACACAUAUACUACGUGUAGUAGUACAUACUCAGACGUGUCAUGUAUUCUCAGCGGUACGUACGUACACAUAUGAACGCACGUGCGAGUUUCCAAUAAAAUUGCCAUGUGUGAUGUGCCUUUGAUAUAUUGUUCUUUUUUAUCGAAUGCUUUUGAUAUAUUGUUCUUUUUUAUUGAAUGCCUUUGAUAUAUUGUUUACGGGAAUUUACACACAAAAGAACGUGAAUUUGAACAAGAUAGCCUACAAAUAUGUAUGUUUUUCCACACACAAAAAAUAUAUGUAUGUUCUAACAUUGGGACUCAGCUUGAAUUUUUUUUCGAGGGGUGGGACUCAGGUUGAUGGUCAGGGUCUCAAAUGGCA